CCUACGGGAGGCAGCAGUGAGGAAUAUUGGUCAAUGGCCGAGAGGCUGAACCAGCCAAGUCGCGUGAGGGAAGACGGCCCUACGGGUUGUAAACUUCUUUUAGCGGGGAGUAAAGCGAGCCACGUGUGACUCGUUGAGUGUACCCGAAGAAAAAGCAUCGGCUAACUCCGUGCCAGCAGCCGCGGUAAUACGGAGGAUGCGAGCGUUAUCCGGAUUUAUUGGGGUUAAAGGGUGCGCAGGUGGGGGUUGAAGUCAGCGGUGAAAUUGUCGGGCUCAACCCUGUAAUUGCCGUUGAAACUGGAUGCCUUGAGUGCGCGCGAGGUAGGCGGAAUGCGUGGUGUAGCGGUGAAAUGCAUAGAUAUCACGCAGAACUCCGAUUGCGAAGGCAGCAUACCGGGGCGCAACUGACGCUCAUGCACGAAAGCGUGGGUAUCGAACAGGAUUAGAUACCCUUGUAGUC
This 460-nucleotide ribosomal RNA is filed under the name uncultured bacterium. RNAcentral describes it as "partial 16S ribosomal RNA". It matches the Rfam family "Bacterial small subunit ribosomal RNA", at positions 338 to 795 of the family's 1533-position model. The record is from RNAcentral.